This 253-nucleotide ribosomal RNA is filed under the name uncultured prokaryote. RNAcentral's name for it is "partial 16S ribosomal RNA". It matches the Rfam family "Bacterial small subunit ribosomal RNA", at positions 524 to 776 of the family's 1533-position model. The record is from RNAcentral.
GACGAGCUCUCCAAACGUUAUUCGGUAUCACUGGGCUUAAAGAGUUCGUAGGCGGCUUUGCAGGUGGGGUGUGAAAGCCCUCGGCUCAACCGAGGAAUUGCGCCCCAAACCGCAAGGCUUGAGGGAUAUAGGGGUAAGCGGAACAGAUGGUGGAGCGGUGAAAUGCAUUGAUAUCAUCUGGAACACCGGUGGCGAAGGCGGCUUACUGGAUAUUUACUGACGCUGAGGAACGAAAGCUAGGGUAGCGAACGGG